AAUCGUGAUGGUUACAGGCACUAGAAAUGAUUUUUAAUGGUUGAAACCAGAUGAGAAUAUUGUGAAUUUUACCCUUCUAAAUUGGGUGUUCUAUCUCAGUUCUUAAACAAAACAAAAAUUAUAUUUUUUUAAAUUAUUCUUUCUUUUAACAUCAGUGUAGCAAGUUCAUGGAAAAACAUUACUUUGGAACGGUCGUUGGAAAUUAUGGGAUAUAACUGCAGGGAGACUUCCUCUACUGCAUCUUUUUUUUAUUAUCUACCCUAAGAAAAUGAUUGUGGAAAAGCAGGUAGAGUAAGAAAGCGUAAUUACAGUUAAGGGGGAAAAAAAGGAGACCUGCCUGCCUUCCAAAUGAUCUAAUCAUGUGUUUUAAGGAAGUUGUUCAAAAUUAGGUUCUUCAUUCUUUUAAAAUAGUCUUUUGCUAGAUUCUCUUCUCUGAAAAAGAAAGCUUUUGUACAACUAAACAUAAACUUGGAGGGUUACAUCAUGCUGUGUCAUGCAGCAUAGGGCAGCAUAAGAAACCAAACAGUUGUAGUCUUUAACAUCUGUCUGUCCUCCAACAAGGAAGGCAGUAUUGAGAAUUUUUCAUGCUUGAAUAUGAUACUGGAAGCUUUCUACAGCAGUGCUGAUGCUGAAAGCCCCAUGCAAGAAAGCUGAUUUUUAAAAAUUUGUCAGUUCCAAAACUUCAUCUUUCUACCAGAAUCCUCAUACUCGGAAAAAGUAUUUCUCUGUACGCCUAGCUCCACAAUAAGCUGUCACUUUUUUUCAUUAUACCACACUGUUCCUUUUCAGACAAAACCACAAAUUCUGUCUCAAGAGAUUCAGUCACUGUUGCUUUUCUAAAGCAGUGAUCUAUGCAGUAUUGACUUUGGUCAGUCCGUGUGGUUAAUUUAUUAACCACAUGUGGAUGACAGUUGUGGGGAAGAAGCAUAAACUCCAGGACUUCAGGCUUACUUCUAGUUGAAUAAUUCAGCUCAUGAAAUGACUUAAGUUUUAUAGCUCCCUGGUUUCAAGCCAUUUUGUGUUUCUAAUCUGCUCCACAAUUGCAAUUUUGGGUGCUAUUGUUAACUUCACUUAAUCUUCAGUAAACUGUGUGUGAGGAAAGAUAAGCAAUGUAGUGACUGGAAACAGGUUACGGAGCUGAGAAAUUGUUUUAAAGAAAAGUAUGUUAUUGGCACCAAAAACAAGCAAUUAGUGUUAAUGUUUUACAACAUACAUCUCUUGUCUUCUGUGGCCAGUGUGUUCAGCUUUUCUGAAUAUGGUUCUUAAUGUGAACAAAGCAAAUGAAUAAAGGAACGAAUACCUCCCAUUUGAAUCUUAAUUAAAACCUCAGUCAACAGAUCCGUUGCAUUUGGAACAGGUAUGGUUCAGAUGGGGGAGCUGCAAACUCCAGUUGCAGGACCUUAACUCAGACCAAACUUUUAUUCUGAUCCAAGUAUGGUGACAACAUCAGUUAGUUUUAAUUCGUUCCGUUGGAUAAAGUGACUCCCCAGAGACUCUGCUAUUACCUGAAUGCCUGUAUUGAAUAUACGAUAAUGUAGCAUUAAUGGCAGUGAAAUUGAAAAGUAAUCGUUCUUGAUUAAUUGCAGUCUGCAACUGAAAUGGUCCCCCUCUUAGGGACUUGAGAAAUCACUGUUUACUGGAUGAAUAAUGAAAAGGAGUAUGAGCACAAGCAAAUGGAGAUAACUUUUGGAUGAAACCACAGUGAAAGAUGUGUUGCAGGAACACACGUCAUUGACAUCUGGCUUGGGGGAAUAAAGUAGUCUGAAGUAAA
This is a long non-coding RNA of Oxyura jamaicensis (ruddy duck), 1771 nucleotides long. RefSeq lists it as uncharacterized. The transcript is spliced from 2 exons. The record is from RefSeq and is a predicted model, not a curated record. Lineage: Eukaryota; Metazoa; Chordata; Aves; Anseriformes; Anatidae.